UUUGUUGGCGCGAUGAUGAAGCUAAUUGAGGAAUAGAGUUUCUCAUCUGGUAUUAUCCAGAACUUGAAGACAAACCCUUGGCUGUUUGACUACCUAU
Amborella trichopoda is the source of this 97-nucleotide non-coding RNA. Lineage: Eukaryota; Viridiplantae; Streptophyta; Magnoliopsida; Amborellales; Amborellaceae. The record is from Rfam.